Molecule: ribosomal RNA, 453 nt
Filed under: uncultured bacterium
Lineage: Bacteria
Description: bacterial SSU rRNA
Rfam family: Bacterial small subunit ribosomal RNA
Source: RNAcentral
UACGGAAGGCAGCAGUGGGGAAUAUUGCACAAUGGGCGCAAGCCUGAUGCAGCCAUGCCGCGUGUAUGAAAAAGGCCUUCGGGUUGUAAAGUACUUUCAGUCGUGAGGAAGGUGUUAAGGUUAAUAACCUUAGCAAUUGACGUUAGCGACAGAAGAAGCACCGGCUAACUCCGUGCCAGCAGCCGCGGUAAUACGGAGGGUGCGAGCGUUAAUCGGAAUUACUGGGCGUAAAGGGCACGCAGGCGGUUAAUUAAGUUGGAUGUGAAAUCCCCGGGCUUAACCUGGGAAUGGCAUUCAAGACUGGUUAGCUAGAGUCUUGUAGAGGGGGUAGAAUUCCAUGUGUAGCGGUGAAUGCGUAGAGAUGUGGAGGAAUACCGGUGGCGAAGGCGGCCCCUGGACAAAGACUGACGCUCAUGUGCGAAAGCGUGGGGAGCAAACGAGGGAUUAGAUACC